AGAGUUUGAUCCUGGCUCAGGAUGAACGCUAGCGACAGGCUUAACACAUGCAAGUCGAGGGGCAGCGGGGGAGUAGCAAUACUCCCGCCGGCGACCGGCGCACGGGUGAGUAACACGUAUGAAACCUGCCCGUAGCAGGGGGAUAAGCGGAAGAAAUUCCGUCUAAUACCGCGUAACAACCCUUGGAGGCAUCUCCUCGGGUUUAAAGGGUAACACCGGCUACGGAUGGCCAUGCGGCGCAUUAGCUAGUUGGCGGGGUAACGGCCCACCAAGGCGACGAUGCGUAGGGGUUCUGAGAGGAAGGUCCCCCACACUGGUACUGAGACACGGACCAGACUCCUACGGGAGGCAGCAGUGAGGAAUAUUGGUCAAUGGGCGCGAGCCUGAACCAGCCAAGUCGCGUGAGGGAAGACGGUCCUAUGGAUUGUAAACCUCUUUUGUCGGGGAGCAAAAGACGCCACGUGUGGCGUUCCGAGAGUACCCGAAGAAAAAGCAUCGGCUAACUCCGUGCCAGCAGCCGCGGUAAUACGGAGGAUGCGAGCGUUAUCCGGAUUUAUUGGGUUUAAAGGGUGCGCAGGCGGAAGAUCAAGUCAGCGGUAAAAUUGAGAGGCUCAACCUCUUCGAGCCGUUGAAACUGGUUUUCUUGAGUGAGCGAGAAGUAUGCGGAAUGCGUGGUGUAGCGGUGAAAUGCAUAGAUAUCACGCAGAACUCCGAUUGCGAAGGCAGCAUACCGGCGCUCAACUGACGCUUAUGCACGAAAGUGUGGGUAUCGAACAGGAUUAGAUACCCUGGUAGUCCACACAGUAAACGAUGAAUACUAAUUGUUCGGGGAGAAUGAUCCCUGAGUGAUACAGCGAAAGCGUUAAGUAUUCCACCUGGGGAGUACGCCGGCAACGGUGAAACUCAAAGGAAUUGACGGGGGCCCGCACAAGCGGAGGAACAUGUGGUUUAAUUCGAAGCAACGCGAAGAACCUUACCAAGCCUUGACAUCUAUCUGACAGAGCAUGUAAUGUGCUUUCCCUUCGGGGCAGGUAAGACAGGUGGUGCAUGGUUGUCGUCAGCUCGUGUCGUGAGAUGUUGGGUUAAGUCCCGCAACGAGCGCAACCCUUAUCCUUAGUAGCCAGCACUUCGGGUGGGCACUCUAGGGAGACUGCCAGGGAUAACCUGGAGGAAGGCGGGGAUGACGUCAAAUCAUCAUGCCCCUUAUGAUCAGGGCUACACACGUGCUACAAUGGCGUAAACAAAGGGAAGCGAGACGGUGACGUUGAGCAAAUCCCAGAAAUAACGUCCCAGUUCGGAUUGUAGUCUGCAACCCGACUACAUGAAGCUGGAAUCGCUAGUAAUCGCGAAUCAGAAUGUCGCGGUGAAUACGUUCCCGGGUCUUGCACACACCGCCCGUCAAG
This 1403-nucleotide ribosomal RNA is filed under the name uncultured bacterium. RNAcentral describes it as "bacterial SSU rRNA". It matches the Rfam family "Bacterial small subunit ribosomal RNA". The record is from RNAcentral.